RNAcentral lists this ribosomal RNA (486 nucleotides) under uncultured bacterium. RNAcentral describes it as "partial 16S ribosomal RNA". It matches the Rfam family "Bacterial small subunit ribosomal RNA", at positions 29 to 507 of the family's 1533-position model. The record is from RNAcentral.
AUUGAACGCUGGCGGCAUGCCUUACACAUGCAAGUCGAACGGCAGCACGGGGGGUAACCCCUGGUGGCGAGUGGCGAACGGGUGAGUAAUAUAUCGGAACGUGUCCUGUAGCGGGGGAUAACCUAUCGAAAGAUGGACUAAUACCGCAUACGACCUACGGGUGAAAGCGGAGGACCGCAAGGCUUCGCCCUAUAGGAGCGGCCGAUAUCGGAUUAGCUAGUUGGCGGGGUAACGGCCCACCAAGGCGACGAUCCGUAGCUGGUCUGAGAGGACGAUCAGCCACACUGGAACUGAGACACGGUCCAGACUCCUACGGGAGGCAGCAGUGGGGAAUUUUGGACAAUGGGCGCAAGCCUGAUCCAGCCAUGCCGCGUGAGUGAAGAAGGCCUUCGGGUUGUAAAGCUCUUUCGGCGGGGACGAAACGGUUCGUGCUAAUACCACGGACUACUGACGGUACCCGCAGAAGAAGCACCGGCUAACUACGUG